This 253-nucleotide ribosomal RNA is filed under the name uncultured bacterium. Its description in RNAcentral is "partial 16S ribosomal RNA". It matches the Rfam family "Bacterial small subunit ribosomal RNA", at positions 524 to 776 of the family's 1533-position model. The record is from RNAcentral.
UACGAAGGGGGCUAGCGUUGUCCGGAAUUAUUGGGCGUAAAGAGCUCGUAGGCGGUCUGUCGCGUCGGAUGUGAAAACCCGGGGCUUAACCCCGGGCCUGCAUUCGAUACGGGCAGACUCGAGUGUGGUAGGGGAGACUGGAACUCCUGGUGUAGCGGUGAAAUGCGUAGAUAUCCGGAGGAACACCGGUGGCGAAGGCGGCUUCCUGGACCGACACUGACGCUGAGGCGCGAAAGCUAGGGGAGCAAACGGG